AAUCUUUCUAUGAAAUAAUCAUUGAUGUACUUAUUGAAGGAUAGAAAUUUAGAGAGGCUUAUGUAAUAAAUAUUGAAUUGAGCUUCAUUCUAUAAGAAGUAGCAAUUCUAGUUCUAAAAAAAAUAAUCUCUCAUUGUUUGGAGUCCACUAUUAAAGAAUGUGGUUGCCAAUUGCAUUACAAAUAUAAGUCAAAUAGAUGUGGAAAAAAUAGGACUAAACCACAUGCAUGCAUUAUAAACUUUGUCAUAUAUUUGCUGCCAUUUUUAAUAAACUA
RNAcentral lists this long non-coding RNA (274 nucleotides) under Physcomitrium patens. RNAcentral's name for it is "long non-coding RNA (PPAT_LNC001179)". The record is from RNAcentral. Lineage: Eukaryota; Viridiplantae; Streptophyta; Bryopsida; Funariales; Funariaceae.